GACGAACGCUGGCGGCGUGCUUAACACAUGCAAGUCGAACGGAAAGGCCCUGCUUUUGUGGGGUGCUCGAGUGGCGAACGGGUGAGUAACACGUGAGUAACCUGCCCUUGACUUUGGGAUAACUUCAGGAAACUGGGGCUAAUACCGGAUAGAAGCUCCUGCUGCAUGGUGGGGGUUGGAAAGUUUCGGCGGUUGUGGAUGGACUCGCGGCUUAUCAGCUUGUUGGUGGGGUAGUGGCUUACCAAGGCUUUGACGGGUAGCCGGCCUGAGAGGGUGACCGGCCACAUUGGGACUGAGAUACGGCCCAGACGCCUACGGGAGGCAGCAGUGGGGAAUAUUGCACAAUGGGCGGAAGCCUGAUGCAGCAACGCCGCGUGCGGGAUGACGGCCUUCGGGUUGUAAACCGCUUUCGCAUGUGACGAAGCGUGAGUGACGGUAAUGGGUAAAGAAGCACCGGCUAACUACGUG
RNAcentral lists this ribosomal RNA (468 nucleotides) under uncultured bacterium. RNAcentral's name for it is "partial 16S ribosomal RNA". It matches the Rfam family "Bacterial small subunit ribosomal RNA", at positions 28 to 507 of the family's 1533-position model. The record is from RNAcentral.